UCGUCUGAGAGCACCACUUCAAAAUUCGGCGUGACUGUUUAUUUCUCUGGAUUCUGACCUGGGCUACAGAGCACUGUUUUCUCAGCACUGUCUCAUUUGGCAUGUUUAAGCCCCAAUUAAAUCAGCAAGAGUUAAAAAUGAGACACUGAGGUUGGACAAUGUGGACUUAGGCCGAUGCUUAGCUGAAGGUCAUCGACACAGCUACAGAGACCUACCACAAACUGGUCUCCUGGAGGCGCUUUUCGUUUAUACCGUGCGCACGUCUGCACGUAAACAUGAAACUUGGGCAUAUCCUACCCAAAUUCUAGAUCAAUUCAUGUCAUAGCUCAGUUUGAUGAUUUCUGAUCAGUCUGUUAUGCUGGAGUCGAUGUUUUGAGGAUUCAUUGCUUGUAAAACAGCAGCUACAGCUACAAACGUCUAGUCAGGAUGAUGGAGGCAGAGAUUAUCCCUCAUGGUUCAUCGUAUAAAAUAAACAGGUCUGCAACAAAUGAAGGAGUUACAGCAACACAGACUUUUACUCCAAGGCAGUAUCAGGUUGAAUUGCUAGAUGCUGCAUUGGAUCACAACUCAGUUAUCUGUCUUCAGACGGAUACCAGCAAAACAUUCAUUGCUGUGAUGUUGAUGAAGGAGCUGUCAAAGGCCCUACGCUUGCCCUUGCAGGAAGGCGGCAAGAGAAUGAUGUAUCUUGUGAACGAUGUGAGCACCGUUCUGCAACAAGCUAGUGUCAUCCGGGAACACACGGAUCUAUCUAUUGGGGAAUUUAUAAGUUGUUCGUCUGUUGAUGAUCACUUCAGUGUGGCAGAGUGGAAACAAAAGUUUGUCCUGUGCCAAGUAAUCAUCACAACAGCCAAGGUAUUCUUAAAAGUACUUGAAGCCAGAUUGGUAUGUCCUUCUCAGCUCAAUUUGUUGAUAUUUGAUGAGUGCCACCUUGCCACUGACAAACACCCUUAUUGUGAGAUAACGAGGACUCUUAGCGAACGGACUGAUUUGUCUUGCCUUCCUCGUAUCAUGGGGAUGACUGCCUCCAUUCUUCACAGCAAAUGUGAGCCGGAGACUUUGGAAAAGAAACUCAAAGCGCUUGAGCAAACUCUGAAGAGUGUUGUGGAGACAUACUCCAGCGGCUGCCUUACUAGGUUUUGUGCUAAACCCAAAGAAGCAAUUGUCGCCUGUAAGGUGGAAGAAGGGUUCAAGAAUAUAAGCAAGCUGGUGCAUAAUGUUUUAAAUGAAUCGUUACUCUUCAUGCAAGAGUGCAGUGUGCAAUAUAAUGCAGUAGAAGGUGAUCCUUUGAUGCCUGUGGAGCGGGCAAUCAGAGAAUGCCUCAUGACCUUUGAAGCCAUAGGUCCAUUAGGAUUAAGGAUAAUGGUUCCAAUGCUGUUGAAGAAGCUUCAGAGAAUUGAAAAGCGUGCAUCAAAUUCCCUGAGUAAGCUCAUACUCCAUUACGGUUGUACUCAGCUUCGCUUGGCAAGAAAGAUUUGUGAAAGUUCCAUCGUGGAACUAGAGGAUCCACUUGAUUUGAGACUGACAACUCCAAAGGUACGUCGCCUUCUUGAAGUACUGAAAGAAUUUCAACCAAGUGAGGAAUCAGAGGCUGGCUUUGAAAUCCAGGAAACUGUGAGGCGUCCUAACAGAACAUUAGGGGGUGGAAUUUUGCAUAAAAUGCAUAAUGAGAGGUUGACGAGUAACAGACUACAUCCCGUAUACAGCUAUGAUGAUGAGGAGGAGAGCAAUUCAGAUGACGAAGACCAUGACAAGGAAGAAAAUACCGAUGCACAGGGUGAAACCAACAUGUAUGGCAUUGUCCUUGUGAAUCGCCAUUUCCUAGCAUUAGUCCUGGACAAAUUGGUGCACAAACUACAAAGGAAGGAUCCUGUAUUGGCAUUCAUCAACAGCAGCUGCAUUGUUGGUCAUCACCAGGGAGGUGUAGAGGUGUUGGGUGUGACAAAGGAACAGCAGUUUAAGAAACAAGAGGAAAUCUUAAGGAGGUUCCGACGACAUGAGAUAAACUUGCUGUUUGCUACAAGUGCACUUGAGGAAGGUGUCGAUGUUCCCAGGUGUAACUUGGUGAUUCGCUUUGAUGUUCCUGAUCACUAUCGGUCCUAUGUCCUUUCCAAGGGGCGUGCUCGGGCACCCAACUCACAUUACAUUAUGUUGGUUGAAGAAGCAAAUCUGGAGCCAUUCACUAGGGAGCUUGGUAACUUUCAGGAAAUUGAUAAGAUCCUACAAAGGAAAUGUCACCAUAGAGAGCAGCAGUGUUGGGAUGAAACAGAUCUCCAGGAGGCAGAUUCUCUUUGUGCUCCAUACAGACCAAACAAGGCAGAAGAUGCUGGCAUGGUAACCAUGACAACAGCCAUCUCACUUGUCAAUAGAUAUUGUUCUAAGCUUCCUAGUGACACCUUCACUCAUCUCUCUCCUAAGUGCCACACAGCCCCCAUGCACACUGGUACAGGCCCUGUAAUGUACCAAUCACAGAUAUUCCUACCGAUCAACUCACCUAUUCGGGAUCCCAUCCAGGGCCCUCCAAUGCCAAAGAGGAAGUUAGCUGAAAUGGCUGCUGCGUUAAAGACAUGUGAAACACUUCACAAAGCUGGGGAGCUUGAUGACAAUCUUCUCCCAGUGGGAAAGGACACUGUGCUCCUGUUAGAAGAUUUUGGCUAUGAGCAGGAGGUGGUUGAGGAGGGGCAGGGUAGACCAGGAACAACAAAGAGACGACAGUACUAUAACAAAGAGGUUGCAAUGUGUCUGAAAAGUUGCCACCCUUCGAUCAAUCAACCAUGCCAUCUUUAUGAGAUCCACAUGUCCCUUGCCUCUCCGUUGCCAGAGGUACUGAAUGUGCGUGAUCGAAAGUUGCAUGUCCCAGAGGAGACCACACAAUGCUUUGGAAUACUCACCACGAAGAUCAUUCCCAAGAUACCAGGUUUUCCAGUCUACACACGAGCAGGUGAGUUGGUCAUAUCAGUGGAUCUGUUGACCUCUGACAUCACAGUGACCUCUGACCAGUUGAACCAAUUGCAGCGAUUUCACAGCUGCAUCUUUGCUGAGGUCCUGCGGCUGGAGAAACCUAACCUGGAAUUUGACACUGAGAAGGCUGAAGCCAACUACCUCAUAGCACCUCUCAACAAAAGUGAUGAAGAUCAGAAGCUCCACAUUGACUGGAACUUUUUAAAAACUGUCAGUGAAAGUUCUGGGAUGCUAGACAGGCCACCAAUUCUUCCGGACUACAGUAGAAAUCAGUUUGUCUUUAGUCACGAAGCCUUCGCCGAUGCUGUGGUGACACCAAUCUAUCGUAACAUUGACCAGCCCCAGAGGUACUACAUUGCUGAUAUUUUGAACAAUCUUCCAGUGACAAGUCCAUUCCCUUCGGAGAAGUAUGAGAAGUUCAUUGACUAUUACUUUGAACGGUAUGACAUCCAGUUGUCCAACUACCAGCAGCCUCUGCUGGAUGUUGAUUGCAUGUCAUCCAGGCUGAACCUACUGACCCCAAGAUACCUGAAUCACAAGGGGAAAGCCUUGCCGAUCAGCAAGACACAGAGCAAGAAAAACUACCUCCAGAAAAAGCAAUAUCUGGUACCAGAGCUCUGCUACAUCUACCCUAUUCCAGCGUCGCUCUGGAGGAAAGCAGUCUGUUUACCCAGCAUCCUAUACAGGCUGAAUUCAUUGCUUGUGGCUGAGGAAUUGCGUGUACAGAUCAGCAUGGGGGCAGGAGUUGGAGUGGCAGAGCUGCCACCUGACGUGUACCCGUUUGCUAACAUGACCUUUGGCUGGGAGGGACUGGAAUUGCAGAACCUUGAAAAUCAGAACAAGCAACCUGGAGAAGCAAAGGAUGGUAGCACAGUGGAAAGAACAGGUGGCAGUCCCAAAGGAACUGAGACCAAGCAAGAGAAGAAUGAGAAUUCAAAGUUGAAAGAAAGAACGAGUUGCUGUUUGGAUACAGAAAGCUUGGGUGAAGCUGGAAACAUCACAUUACUGAAGAAAAUGAAUGGUGAAGUCAAGGGGCAGAAAUACCUUGACCACAGCACUGUUGGCUUAAACAGUAAGACAGUGACAGGAACUGAGCAGGAUGCAAUAGCUAAAGAGAUGUGCAGUAGAGAAGGUCAUAAUGAUGGCUUCAAAUCCACAAUACCUCCUGAGUUAAAUUCAAGCAAUCUAGAGAAGACAGACAAAGCAAAAGUGAACUUGAAAAGUGAGGGUGCACUUGUAAGACACCACAAACUUGAAGUGAGCCCUGCAAGCAGUCGUGAGAAAAUGGCAUGUGCCAGUUCUCCAAGUGAAGGAUAUUGCAGAUGCUUGCAAGAGAGAAAUCAGAAUGAAUUUGAUGAGGCUUCAAGGGGCAGAGGAGGCUACACAUUGAAGCUCAGUGUUUUAGAUGAUCAAGGUCAUGAUCCAGCCAGUCUGCCAGGUCCCAGCCCCACUACCAUCCUCCAGUCCCUGACUAUGUCCAACUCCAGUGAUGGGUUCAACCUAGAGAGGCUAGAGAUGCUGGGAGACUCUUUCCUCAAACAAGCUGUCACCAUCUACCUGUAUUGCACUUAUCCCCGGCGCCACGAGGGCAAGUUGAGCUACAUGCGCAGCAAGCAGGUCAGCAACUUUAAUCUGUACCGUCUUGGCAAGGGAAAGGCCAUCGGGCAGAAAAUGCAGGUUGCUCUCUUUGAUCCUGCAAUCAACUGGCUGGCUCCGUGCUUCUCUGUCAAGGAGAAUGCUCCUACUGAAGAACAGCCAUCAUAUAAGUCUUACCAGAAAGAGGGUAGUGACUUAUCUUCAGAUGAUGGGGAUUUUGCCAUCGACACGUGGGACCCAAGCAGUGUGGAUAUGUGGGACUCCAAUGCAGUCAUUGAGGAGGAGACAGCACCUGAUUUUGAAAUACCCAUGAUGACUAAAGAAGACAUGGAUAGUGAUUUCAGUGAUGAGGAUCCCACUUACCAGUAUCCAGAUAGGAGCUUUCGCUCUCUAGACCCUUGGACCUUCUCCCUGGAGGAUGCAGAUAACCUCCCUGGCUUGACAUACACUGGCAGAAAGCCGGACGACAUGGGAGACCUUCCUGAGCUACCUUAUGAAAUUCACACCCAGCACAACCUCUCCGAUAAGAACUUGGCCGACUCUGUGGAGGCACUUAUAGGCUGUUACCUCAUAUCUUGCGGUUUCCGCAGUGCACUCAUCGUAAUGUCUUGGUUUGGAUUGCGUGUGCUACCACAGAUUUGUGAGGGUGCUCCUUGUGAUUCUGAAGCCAAGGUAGUUGAUGAGCUAGUCACGUGGGAACAAGAGUACUCCGAGAAUCAGAAUAACUGCAAGAAGCCUCAAGCUCGCUAUGGUUACCUGAAGCAACCAGAAUCGCCAUUCUUCAGAAAUGUCUCUGAUGCUGAAGAGAGGUUAAAUCAUCUUCUAGUGGGCAUGGAUGACUUUGAGCAAACCAUCAAGUACAGCUUCAGUGACAAGGCUUACUUAGUGCAGGCCUUCACACAUGCUUCCUACCACUACAACUGUGUCACUGAUUGCUAUCAAAGGCUAGAAUUUCUUGGGGAUGCUAUCUUAGACUACCUCAUUACCCGGCAUCUCUUUGACCACCAUCAGGACCUUUCGCCCGGGGCUUUGACUGACUUGCGCUCAGCCCUCGUCAAUAACACCAUCUUCGCUUCCCUAGCCGUCAAGUUUGGCUACCAUAAAUACUUCAAGGCGCUUAGCCCUGAGCUUUUCCAUGUUAUCGACAACUUUGUAACCUUUGUGAAGGAGAAGAAGGAGGCUCUGGGCAUGGGUUCACAGGUAGAAACACUGACAGUGUUGUCUAGUUAAAAGUGCUGGAUGUGGAAGGCCUUCCAGGACACGAGGAUGAGAGUGAAGACAUUGAGGUACCCAAAGCACUAGGAGACAUCUUUGAAUCAGUAGCUGGAGCUGUGUAUCUGGAUAGCGAACAAUAUGCAGCAAGUUUACCGAUUUCACCUGUGAGAGAGCUUCUGGAGAUGGAGCCAGAAACAGCAAGA
This 5972-nucleotide unclassified non-coding RNA is filed under the name Acanthaster planci (crown-of-thorns starfish). RNAcentral describes it as "endoribonuclease Dicer-like, transcript variant X1". The record is from RNAcentral. Lineage: Eukaryota; Metazoa; Echinodermata; Asteroidea; Valvatida; Acanthasteridae.